AACGAACGCUGGCGGCAUGCCUAACACAUGCAAGUCGAACGAGACCUUCGGGUCUAGUGGCGCACGGGUGCGUAACGCGUGGGAACCUGCCCUUAGGUUCGGAAUAACUCCCCGAAAGGGGUGCUAAUACCGGAUAAUGUCUUCGGACCAAAGAUUUAUCGCCUUUGGAUGGGCCCGCGUUGGAUUAGCUAGUUGGUAGGGUAAAAGCCUACCAAGGCGACGAUCCUUAGCUGGUCUGAGAGGAUGAUCAGCCACACUGGGACUGAGACACGGCCCAGACUCCUACGAGAGGCAGCAGGGGGGAAGAUUGGACAAUGGACGCAAGUCUGAUCCAGCAAUGACGCGUGAGAGAUGAAGGCCUUAGGGUUGGAAAGCUCCUUUACCAGGGAUGAUAAUGAGAGUACCUGGAGAAUAAGCUCCGGCUAACUCCGUG
RNAcentral lists this ribosomal RNA (433 nucleotides) under uncultured bacterium. RNAcentral's name for it is "partial 16S ribosomal RNA". It matches the Rfam family "Bacterial small subunit ribosomal RNA", at positions 29 to 507 of the family's 1533-position model. The record is from RNAcentral.